CUUUUGCGCCAAAGAGGACUUUUAAUUCAACAUCGAGGUCAUAAACUCACUUGUCAAUUAGAACUUUUAAAGUGAAUUAAGCUGUUAUCCCUAAAGUAACUUCUGCUUCUUUUCAAAAUGUUAGCUCUGAAGCUGUNAAGUCUUUNGUCUGUNGNAAAAGCUUCAUUUUUUUCUCCCGCCCCAGUAAAAUNCCUCCUCUCUCACCUAAGNGNAAAUUAAAUAUAAAGUUUUAUAGGGUCUUCUCGUCUUUAAGNACUAUUUUAGCCUUCUUACUAAAAAGUCAACUUCAUCCUCUUACUUUUAAAAAAGCUUUUCCAGUUUACCCUUUCAUUCCAG
Molecule: ribosomal RNA, 336 nt
Filed under: Mesobuthus eupeus (lesser Asian scorpion)
Lineage: Eukaryota; Metazoa; Arthropoda; Arachnida; Scorpiones; Buthidae
Description: partial 16S ribosomal RNA
Source: RNAcentral